Molecule: RNA transcript, 3476 nt
Organism: Chroicocephalus ridibundus (black-headed gull)
Lineage: Eukaryota; Metazoa; Chordata; Aves; Charadriiformes; Laridae
Gene: PRTFDC1
Gene name: phosphoribosyl transferase domain containing 1
Exons: 9
Source: RefSeq, a predicted model, not a curated record
UUCCUCCCUAGAGUAUAAUCAUAAGAAUAUAACCUGUUAAAAUGUCAGUUUAGACCACACCAGCUUAAUCUUAUCCACUAACUUCUUCAGCCCAGGCCUCUUGCCCAGCUCUGCCCACCAUCCUGCGGGUCUCCCACCGGCACUGGCCUGUCCAGGCGCCUCCACCCCGUCCCCGGCACCAGAGGUGUCCAACAGCCCUAGCGACACCGCUGUGCCCCACACACCGCUUUCUGAACACCCGUCCCAUGCCUUUACGCACAGUUUAGCUGAUGCAUUACAGCCUAUUUCCUCAUCUCUUCAGAGAGGCAAUUAAACUUUGUCACGGCAUUAACCAAGCUGAUGACCGCCUGUUUGGCGAGGCCCGGCCGCCGGCGGGCACACCGUAGGCCCUGUUCCCUAGGGAGGCGGGGGACCGGCCCCAAACACAGGGGGGCAGCCUCCUCGGGCUCCCCGCAGCUCGCCGGGCGCCGGCCCCCCUCCGCCGGGGAGCAGCGGCGGGCGCAGCCCGGCCCCCGGCCCGGCCCCGCCCCGCCGCAGCCCCUCGGGCGGGCGCGGAGGAAGAUGGCCGGGCAAGGCGGCAGCGGAGCCGAGGCGCGGAGCGGCGGAGGCCGCGGCGUUGUGGGCUCCCACCGAAAUGCUCAGAGGCCUUUGGGGAUCCGGGGGGGCUGCACAAGCUCGCCGUUGGGCUGCCCCUUGUUUUUCUGCCGUGGGAAAAAGCCCAAACUUCGGCAGUGUGUUUUGAGUACUGAAGAGGUUACGCAAAAAUGAACGAAUAUGCUCCUUAUUCUGAGGGACAAACCAGAUUUUCCUGUGGAGCAGAUACCCUCGCUGCCACCCCCUCAGAUUUCAGACAAUUGGCCUGGAUACAGUCUGGAUUUGUUCACUUAUCCUCAGCACUACUAUGGAGAUCUGGAAUACGUGCUCAUACCUCAUGGCAUUAUUGUUGACAGGACAGAACGAUUGGCCAAAGAUAUUAUGCAAGACAUUGGAGACAAUGAUAUUGUGGUUCUCUGUGUCCUCAAAGGUGGCUACAAGUUCUGUGCUGACCUUGUGGAGCACAUUAAAAAUCUCAGCAGAAAUUCAGAAAGGUUCAUCUCCAUGAAAGUUGAUUUUGUUAGACUGAAAAGCUACCACAAUGAUCAGUCUAUGCAAGAUAUGCAGAUAAUGGGAGGAGAUGAUCUUUCAAAGCUGACUGGGAAGAAUGUUCUAAUUGUGGAGGAUAUUGUUGGAACUGGGAGGACUAUGAAGGUUCUGCUUAAUAAUAUAGAAAAAUGCAAGCCAAAAAUGAUUAAAGUGGCAAGUUUGUUGGUGAAAAGAACAUCUCGGCCUGAUGGGUACAGACCAGAUUGUAAGUGUUACUGUGAAAAUCUGUACAUGACAGUACAAGAAGUUACCAUUACUCUACCACUUGCCUUUCAUAUCAUUCUACGGACUGCCAGAAGCAUUGUAAAAUAUCAAUUGUCAAUGGGACAAUGGAAUGCAAUGGAAGGGCAUGUAUAAUGGUGGCUUGCAAAGCCUAACUUCCUUGUAGUCUGAUGUUUUCUGCAGAGUGCUAACUUUAUAGGGAAGUUAUGAAAAGGUUUCAUUUUAUUCAUGAAAGGUGUUUAUCUUCAGUUCUGACAAACUAUAUAGAAGAGAAAGUCCAUUUCUUCCUUUUCUUUCCUCAUUGCAUCUCUGUGGAGGAGCUGCAGGAUUCCAUCUGAACAUGAAAGGUGUUUUAUUGUGGCCUAGUUAUUCACAGGUUUUACAUUUUUGUAACAGAAUAACACUUUUUAUUAUUUUUUGAAAAGUAUUAUUGUUUAAAGGGUGAACAGUAAUAUUAUAAUUAAAUCCCACCCCCCAAAAAAGCAAAAGAUAAAUUGGGCUUUUUAAACUUCCUCCCGUUGCUCUGUUGGUGUCACACCAGCACCACUUCGCUCUGAAUUAUUGGUACCUGUGCUAUGAUGAAGCUGUAAAUGGAGCUAUACCAACCUAUUGUCAUUUUAGACUUGUUAGAAUAAAUGAUGUAAUAACAGGUAUGUGGCUAAAUAGUGAAAAGAAUAGAUCCAUCUAGAAGAGAUCGACCAGUAUUUGCUACUGAAGAAGGCUCUGGUCAGCUGAGCUGGGGAGGAGGGUAGAAGGAGAGUAGGCAGGUGAGUACCAGGAGGCAGCAUGAAGGGUCUUGAUUUGGGAUGUGGGAGAGAGGGAAACUUUAUGAAGCAAAAGUCACUCCACAUUGGGCACGGCCCCGCGGUUUUAGCCCAAUAAUCUGAACUGUGACCCAAACAUUUUGUUGUGCAACUUUUUACACAGUGGUAUUUUUAACCUUUAGAAUUUAAUCCAGUAAAUUAUAUAUUCAACUGGAUUCACUAAUGUUAAACAUAUCAAAAAUACAACAAAAUUACUUCAUGAAGGGUAGCGUAGUAUUUUUAUGUUGUAAAAUGAAACAGGUUUUAUCCUUGUUUAUUCAUACUGUGAUUCAUUUUAUAAAACAUCAGAGAUCACUCUUGUAAAAAUCAGACAGUGCUGUAUCAUUUGCUCACUUGCCCGAAUUUAUGAUUCCAAAGUGUCUAUUAUCCACAAUUUUUAACAACUGAAUAAAUUCCUUACUUGAAUACCUGUAAAAAUUUUUAUGCUGACCUAUUUUUGCAUCCAUAAGGUUGUGCUUGUCUCUAGAUACCUAGUGAACAAUUUGGAAAGAGUCUAACUUGUUUUAUGUAGUGCUGAUACCGCACAAACCUUCACACUCAAAAAAGAUACGUGCCUAUGCUCAGCUUGAAGUUUGUGAGUUGUGGGAUUCAGCUACUCUGCAUGCAUUUACUUUAUUAAGCAUGUGCAUGAGCCUUCGUAAGGUUGGGGCUUUAAUUUAAGAAGCAUUUGACGUGUUUUGGUCGCAUACUAUGCAAAAGAGUUUUUUCUCUUCUCAGAAGAAAAUAUAUAAAUCUCCGAAAGUUACUUCAGAAUGAAAGUUGUACUUUUUUUUUUUUGUAAAUCGUUAAUGUGAUACUGGACAGUUGUCAUCACACGUGUGCCAAUGGAGUUUCCAACUGUAGGCAGAAUUUUUUAGCUCUGAUUUUGGCUUCCUUCCGCAACAUAUCUGUUGUGCCACUGAUAACGUACAGAACUCUCCUACACUGACUGCUCACAUCCCUGUCACAAAUAGUCUGUGAGUGGGAACUGGGUAUAGGGCCACUGCUGACCUUCAUGUCUCAAAGUCAAAAGUAGCAUGACCUCAAGUGAUUACGUAUAUCUACAGUUUGCUUGUCAGAGAACCAACAUAUGAAUUUAAGGGCUAUAUAAUUGCCACUGAUCUUGUAUUGAUGGUGUUUGUUAUUUGUCUCAAUACAGAUUAUGGAUUUGAAAUUCCAGAUUUAUUUGUGGUAGGUUAUGCCUUAGACUACAACGAGCACUUCAGAGAUCUAAAUCACAUAUGUGUUAUCAAUGAUCAUGGCAAAGCAAAAUACAGAGUCUGAAGCAGUAACAUCCUCACCUGAAGA